ACGUAGGGUCCAAGCGUUAUCCGGAAUUACUGGGUAUAAAGGGUGCGUAGGCGGUCUUGUGCGUCGAAGGUUAAAGGCCAUGGCUCAACCAUGGAAAUGCCCUCGAUACGGCAAGACUUGAGUAUGAGAGAGGAAGAUGGAAUUCCUGGUGUAGCAGUGAAAUGCGUAGAUAUCAGGAGGAACACCGGUGGCGAAGGCGGUCUUCUGGCUCAUUACUGACGCUGAGGCACGAAAGUGUGGGGAGCAAACAGG
RNAcentral lists this ribosomal RNA (252 nucleotides) under uncultured bacterium. RNAcentral's name for it is "partial 16S ribosomal RNA". It matches the Rfam family "Bacterial small subunit ribosomal RNA", at positions 525 to 776 of the family's 1533-position model. The record is from RNAcentral.